This 84-nucleotide transfer RNA is filed under the name Thermoplasmata archaeon. Its description in RNAcentral is "tRNA-Leu". It matches the Rfam family "tRNA". From Rfam's summary of the family: Transfer RNA (tRNA) molecules are approximately 80 nucleotides in length. Lineage: Archaea; Methanobacteriati; Thermoplasmatota; Thermoplasmata. The record is from RNAcentral.
GGGUAGCCAAGCCUGGUCAACGGCGCAGGACUUAAGAUCCUGUCUCGUAGGAGUGCGUGGGUUCGAAUCCCACCCCCUGCACCA